RNAcentral lists this small nucleolar RNA (187 nucleotides) under Propithecus coquereli (Coquerel's sifaka). RNAcentral's name for it is "Small Cajal body specific RNA 16 (ENSPCOG00000002246.1)". It matches the Rfam family "Small Cajal body specific RNA 16". From Rfam's summary of the family: scaRNAs are a specific class of small nuclear RNAs which localise to the Cajal bodies and guide the modification of RNA polymerase II transcribed spliceosomal RNAs U1, U2, U4, U5 and U12. ACA47 belongs to the H/ACA box class of guide RNAs as it has the predicted hairpin-hinge-hairpin-tail structure, the conserved H/ACA-box motifs and is found associated with GAR1. Lineage: Eukaryota; Metazoa; Chordata; Mammalia; Primates; Indriidae. The record is from Rfam by way of RNAcentral.
AUGGUCUGGGGAAAGGCUCCUGUGUUGUUGAACCUGCCCAGUUGCGGGUGCAGCCUUGUACCAAGCAGCCCAACCCCGACCUAAAGUAAAUUCUCAGGAGAAGUCUUACCUGGGUUUUGAAUUUGCAGUAACAGGUGUGAGCAUACUAGCAGCAGUGUGACAAUCAUGUAUGAUACUGCAAACAGGA